RNAcentral lists this ribosomal RNA (115 nucleotides) under Pseudomonas putida. RNAcentral's name for it is "partial 16S ribosomal RNA". The stretch from base 41 to 115 matches the Rfam family "Bacterial small subunit ribosomal RNA", at positions 1 to 75 of the family's 1533-position model. Lineage: Bacteria; Pseudomonadati; Pseudomonadota; Gammaproteobacteria; Pseudomonadales; Pseudomonadaceae. The record is from RNAcentral.
UGAGCCAAGUUUAGGGUUUCUUAAAAACCCAAGCAGUAUUGAACUGAAGAGUUUGAUCAUGGCUCAGAUUGAACGCUGGCGGCAGGCCUAACACAUGCAAGUCGAGCGGAUGAGA